Molecule: ribosomal RNA, 253 nt
Filed under: uncultured bacterium
Lineage: Bacteria
Description: partial 16S ribosomal RNA
Rfam family: Bacterial small subunit ribosomal RNA
Source: RNAcentral
UACGGAGGGUGCAAGCGUUAUCCGGAUUCACUGGGUUUAAAGGGUGCGUAGGUGGCUUUGUAAGUCAGUGGUGAAAUCUUAGAGCUUAACUCUAAAACUGCCUUUGAUACUGCUUAGCUUGAAUCAAGUAGAGGUGGAUGGAAUAUUACAUGUAGCGGUGAAAUGCUUAGAUAUGUAAUAGAACACCGAUUGCGAAGGCAGUUCACUAUGCUUGUAUUGACACUGAGGCACGAAAGCGUGGGGAUCAAACAGG